This 253-nucleotide ribosomal RNA is filed under the name uncultured bacterium. Its description in RNAcentral is "partial 16S ribosomal RNA". It matches the Rfam family "Bacterial small subunit ribosomal RNA", at positions 524 to 776 of the family's 1533-position model. The record is from RNAcentral.
UACGAAGGGGGCUAGCGUUGUUCGGAUUUACUGGGCGUAAAGCGCGCGUAGGCGGCCCUGUAAGUCCGCUGUGAAAGUCAAAGGCUCAACCUUUGAAAGCCGGUGGAUACUGCAGGGCUAGAGUCCGGAAGAGGCGAGUGGAAUUCCUGGUGUAGCGGUGAAAUGCGCAGAUAUCAGGAGGAACACCGAUGGCGAAGGCAGCUCGCUGGGACGGUACUGACGCUGAGGCGCGAAAGCGUGGGGAGCAAACAGG